This 207-nucleotide ribosomal RNA is filed under the name uncultured bacterium. RNAcentral's name for it is "partial 16S ribosomal RNA". It matches the Rfam family "Bacterial small subunit ribosomal RNA", at positions 568 to 774 of the family's 1533-position model. The record is from RNAcentral.
CGCGUAGGUGGUUUGUUAAGUUGGAUGUGAAAGCCCCGGGCUUAACCUGGGAAUUGCAUUCAAAACUGGCAGGCUAGAGUGUGGUAGAGGGUAGUGGAAUUUCCGGUGUAGCGGUGAAAUGCGUAGAUAUCGGAAGGAACAUCAGUGGCGAAGGCGGCUACCUGGACCAACACUGACACUGAGGUGCGAAAGCGUGGGGAGCAAACA